ACUCAAAUAGCUUAAGGAAAGAGUGUAAUAUUGAAGCUGUUAAGGUGAUAGGAUAUCUUUGAGUA
RNAcentral lists this transfer RNA (65 nucleotides) under Opisthoteuthis massyae. RNAcentral describes it as "tRNA-Phe". The record is from RNAcentral. Lineage: Eukaryota; Metazoa; Mollusca; Cephalopoda; Octopoda; Opisthoteuthidae.